Molecule: ribosomal RNA, 301 nt
Filed under: uncultured bacterium
Lineage: Bacteria
Description: partial 16S ribosomal RNA
Rfam family: Bacterial small subunit ribosomal RNA
Source: RNAcentral
CAGUCGCCGCGGGAACACGAAGGGGGCUAGCGUUGUUCGGAUUUACUGGGCGUAAAGCGCACGUAGGCGGACUUUUAAGUCAGGGGUGAAAUCCCGGGGCUCAACCCCAGAACUGCCUUUGAUACUGGAAGUCUUGAGUAUGGUAGAGGUGAGUGGAAUUCCGAGUGUAGAGGUGAAAUUCGUAGAUAUUCGGAGGAACACCAGUGGCGAAGGCGGCUCACUGGACCAUUACUGACACUGAGAGACGAAAGCUAGGGGAGCAAAUGGGAUUAGAUACCCCGGUAGUCCCUGUCUCUUAUAC